Molecule: ribosomal RNA, 422 nt
Filed under: uncultured bacterium
Lineage: Bacteria
Description: bacterial SSU rRNA
Rfam family: Bacterial small subunit ribosomal RNA
Source: RNAcentral
UGAGGAAUAUUGGGCAAUGCCCGCAAGGGUGACCCAGCAACGCCGCGUGGAGGAUGAAUGUCGUAAGAUUGUAAACUCCUGUUAGAGGGGAAGAAUAGUACCGGUUGGACCGGUAUAUGACUGUACUCUCAGAGAAAGCCCCGGCUAACUACGUGCCAGCAGCCGCAGUAAUACGUAGGGGGCAAGCGUUGUCCGGAUUUACUGGGUGUAAAGGGCGCGCAGGCGGGAUAAAAAGUCAGUGGUGAAAUCCUACAGCUUAACUGUAGAACUGCCUUUGAUACUUUUAUUCUUGAGUUCGGGAGAGAGAGACGGAAUUCCAGGUGUAGUGGUGAAAUACGUAGAUAUCUGGAAGAACACCAGUUGCGAAGGCGGUCUCUUGGUCCGACACUGACGCUGAGGCGCGAAAGCGUGGGGAGCAAACA